CCUACGGGAGGCAGCAGUGGGGAAUAUUGCACAAUGGGGGAAACCCUGAUGCAGCGACGCCGCGUGAGCGAUGAAGGAUCUCUGGAUGGUAAGCUUCAUCUGUAGGGAAGUAAAUGUCGGUACGUGUCUAAGUAUCCCUGGCCAACUACGUUCCAGCUGCCGAGGCACUAUGGAGGAGGCAAGCGUUAUCCGGAUUUACCGGGUGUAAUGGGGGCGUAGUCGGUCCUGCAAGCCAGAUGUUAAAGCUUGUGGCUCAACCCCAGGACUGCAGUUGAAACUGUAAGGCUGGAGUGUCGGUGAGGCAGGCGGAAUUCGUAGUGUAGCGGUGAAAUGCAUAGAUAUUACGCAGAACACCGAUUGCGAAGGCAGCCUACUAAACGAUGACUGACAUUGAAGCACGAAAGCGUGGGGAGCAAACAGGAUUAGAUACCCUGGUAGUC
This 440-nucleotide ribosomal RNA is filed under the name uncultured bacterium. RNAcentral describes it as "partial 16S ribosomal RNA". It matches the Rfam family "Bacterial small subunit ribosomal RNA", at positions 338 to 795 of the family's 1533-position model. The record is from RNAcentral.